Molecule: ribosomal RNA, 435 nt
Filed under: Elysia atroviridis
Lineage: Eukaryota; Metazoa; Mollusca; Gastropoda; Plakobranchidae
Description: partial 16S rRNA
Rfam family: Bacterial large subunit ribosomal RNA
Source: RNAcentral
AGCCUUAAGAUUAUAUUUAAGGUAAUGCCUGCCCAGUGCUACAGUGUUAACGGCCGCAGUACCUUGACUGUGCUAAGGUAGCAUAAUCAGUUGGCUUUUAAAUGGAGUCGGGAAUGAAUGGAUUUAUACGGUAAAGCUGUCUCUUUUAUAUUUUAUUGAAUUUAAUUAUUAGGUGAAAAUACCUAAAAUUAACAAAAAAGACGAGAACACCCAAAGAGUUUUUACUAAUGGUCAAUUUAAGUUGGCUUCUGGUUUUUGUUGGGGCGACAUAAGAACAAACAACUUCCUUAUUUUAUAGGCCGACUACGUAUGAAUAAUAAAACUACCCUAGGGAUAACAGCGUAAUUCUUUAUGGAGCUUGCGACCUCUAUGUUGGACUAUGAAUUUGAAUGGCUAGCCGGCACUUUAUAUUGUUCUGUUCGAACUUAAUUUCCU